RNAcentral lists this ribosomal RNA (253 nucleotides) under uncultured bacterium. RNAcentral's name for it is "partial 16S ribosomal RNA". It matches the Rfam family "Bacterial small subunit ribosomal RNA", at positions 524 to 776 of the family's 1533-position model. The record is from RNAcentral.
CACGUAGGGCGCAAGCGUUGUCCGGAAUUAUUGGGCGUAAAGAGCUCGUAGGCGGUCUGUUGCGUCCGCUGUGAAAACUCGGGGCUUAACCCCGAGCCUGCAGUGGAUACGGGCAGACUAGAGGUAGGUAGGGGAGAAUGGAAUUCCCGGUGUAGCGGUGAAAUGCGCAGAUAUCAGGAGGAACACCGGUGGCGAAGGCGGUUCUCUGGGCCUGUACUGACGCUGAGGAACGAAAGCGUGGGGAGCGAACAGG